Molecule: ribosomal RNA, 460 nt
Filed under: uncultured bacterium
Lineage: Bacteria
Description: partial 16S ribosomal RNA
Rfam family: Bacterial small subunit ribosomal RNA
Source: RNAcentral
CCUACGGGAGGCAGCAGUGAGGAAUAUUGGUCAAUGGACGAGAGUCUGAACCAGCCAAGUAGCGUGAAGGAUGACUGCCCUAUGGGUUGUAAACUUCUUUUAUAUGGGAAUAAAAUGUUCCACGUGUGGGAUUUUGUAUGUACCAUAUGAAUAAGGAUCGGCUAACUCCGUGCCAGCAGCCGCGGUAAUACGGAGGAGCCGGGCGUUAUCCGGAUUUAUUGGGUUUAAAGGGAGCGUAGGUGGAUUGUUAAGUCAGUUGUGAAAGUUUGCGGCUCAACCGGAAAAUUGCAGUUGAAACUGGCAGUCUUGAGUACAGUAGAGGUGGGCGGAAUUCGUGGUGUAGCGGUGAAAUGCUGAGAUAUCACGAAGAACUCCGAUUGCGAAGGCAGUUCACUGGACUGCAACUGACACUGAGGCUCGAAAGUGCGGGUAUCAAACAGGAUUAGAUACCCUAGUAGUC